Molecule: ribosomal RNA, 518 nt
Filed under: uncultured bacterium
Lineage: Bacteria
Description: bacterial SSU rRNA
Rfam family: Bacterial small subunit ribosomal RNA
Source: RNAcentral
CGAUGCCUAAGACAUGCAAGUCGAACGAAGUGACCCAUUGAAGUGGAGUGCUUGCACAAAACUGAUUGGAUUAUCACUUAGUGGCGCAAGGGUGAGUAACACGUGGGUAAUCUGCCUUGAGACUGGGAUAACAGUUGGAAACGACUGCUAAUACCGGAUGAUAUGUAUGACACAAAGUUGUAUAUUAAAAGGGGCCUUUAAAGCUUCACUUAAAGAUGAGCCUGCGGCGCAUUAGCUAGUUGGUAAGGUAAUGGCUUACCAAGGCAACGAUGCGUAGCCGAACUGAGAGGUUGAUCGGCCACAUUGGGACUGAGACACGGCCCAAACUCCUACGGGAGACAGCAGUUAGGAAUAUUCGUCAAUGGAGGAAACUCUGAACGAGCAAUGCCGCGUGAAUGAAUGACGGUCCUUUGGAUUGUAAAAUUCUGUUGUUGAGGAAGAACUACUAAUAUAGGAAAUGAUAUUAGUUUGACGGUACUCUUCAAGAAAGCUCCGGCUAACUACGUGCCAGCCGCGGC